This 236-nucleotide long non-coding RNA is filed under the name Capsicum annuum. RNAcentral's name for it is "long non-coding RNA (CANN_LNC015888)". The record is from RNAcentral. Lineage: Eukaryota; Viridiplantae; Streptophyta; Magnoliopsida; Solanales; Solanaceae.
AUGAGUCUCAGUCUAGGGGUCCAAAAAGGCUGUAGAUUCGUUAGAUAGAGUAGCAGUGAUUAGUUGGUUAGCCUUCUAUAUUCCAGAAGGCCCGUCUUUCAGAUUAUGUCCCUUAUUAUCGUUUUGGUCUGCUGGGGGCCUUGUCCUAGUUUUCAGAAAGUUUUCAGAUUUUCUUGUAGUAAAGAUUUAGCCGACUGAGUCCGAUGUUAUUAGAUGUAGUUGAUUUUCAAUUUUCA